CAAUUGUCUUCAAUUUUUAUCUCAAUGCUAGUAAAAUACUCGGUUUUUACUAAUUUAUCUCUUCAUGCAAUCUUGUCGCAGGAAUGUCAGAGUCCCGUCCUGUUGAAACGACAACUGCAAAAAAUCCCCAAAGUGUCAUUCCCGAGAUUCGCCUCUGGGACAGUUUCCAUAAAAAUGUCCUGUAUAGAGAGGAGGCUUUGCAAGACUUACGUACUAAUUUCAAGCUUCUUGAUAUUCAGUCAUCAAUGUCUUGAUAGUUGUUGAAAGUCUUGAUUGUUUUCUUGACAAUAGUUUCUUUUAUGGAUUCUUUGUAUUUAGGUAUUAUGUGGACCCAUCUGUAGCUCUAUCCAUCAGUGCUUUUGAUGUUAAAUCAAACGGAAGUAGCUCUAGGUAUCCACCACCCAGAACUGUUUCAAGUUCUCCAGUAAUUUCAGGAACCAUUAUAGCUCCUUUGACUACACCUUCCAAUACUCUCCAGCUAAGAACAACUAAGAUAACAUCCUCUCCAGUCACAAAUCAUCCGUUUAUUCCGAAUGAUGAUAAGAGUUUCUAUGCAAGUGACUUCAGGUCUGCAUUAGCUCCGCAAGAUCCAUUCAACUCCCUCGCAAACAUGGCUGGUGAUUCUCUUUCCUCAUCUGAGGCCUCAUUUGCCAAUUUUGAUAAAAAUCCUAUUUUCUCUUCGGCUACUCAAGACCCUUGUCGGGCAUCGAAGAAAAUAGCUACUUUUGGUGCUAAAGUGGUCAGCGCCGAUACAUCAAUAGCAAGAUUUUUUCCGGAAACCGACAUUAUACUCUGUAAGUGCGUAAUCUAAGCUACAAAAUCAUAUAUUAACAUGCUCAAAAAAACCUCUUAUUCGUGCCCAUAUCGAC
This 869-nucleotide long non-coding RNA is filed under the name Bemisia tabaci. RNAcentral describes it as "lncRNA ENSSSA1NGG003241". The record is from RNAcentral. Lineage: Eukaryota; Metazoa; Arthropoda; Insecta; Hemiptera; Aleyrodidae.